RNAcentral lists this long non-coding RNA (758 nucleotides) under Panax ginseng (ginseng). RNAcentral describes it as "long non-coding RNA (PGIN_LNC016301)". Lineage: Eukaryota; Viridiplantae; Streptophyta; Magnoliopsida; Apiales; Araliaceae. The record is from RNAcentral.
UUUUAUUGAAAACAUUAUACUAAUCAAGUUAUAACAACUCCCUUCAUGCAUAAAAACCUAGAACACAUUGUUGGACAUCAACAUAAGCAUACAAAGUUCCUAUAAGCAUGCUCAAAACUAUAGCACACAAGAAAAAUCAUUUUCAAGGACUAGUGACCUGCGUGGCUGCGCAGGAUUUUGCAAAGGAAGUGGCGCGGCCGCGCCACUUCAGGUUCAGCCCAGAAAUAGACUCUGUUCUGUAGAGCUCGAAAACACUUGAACUAAAACCAACUUUAAUCCUACCGUGAUAACAAUUAACCAUAUCAGACAUAUCAAAACACCACUUUUGAUUAUAUCAGAUCAUUAAUCACCAUAUCUAUUAACCAAAUUCCUUCACCAUAUACAAAAUAAAUUCCCAUACAUAUUACCAAACUUUUUAAGUUUAGAUAUAAAAUUCCCACUUUUCAAUCAAUUACAAAAGAUGAUGUUUUUAUCUUAAGCCUUCUUAACUCCUACUGAAUCCAGAACUUGCUUUGCUUUAAUUUCUCCCUUAAUAUCCUUUCGAUCUUCAAUAGCUAGGCUGGAGAUAAGAUGAACAAGGACUGCACUCUCUAAUAGAAUAACGUUAUUGGAUCUUGAAUCAAAGAACUCAAAGAUAGAAGCUUAAGCUUGGUUUAUAUAUAAAGUAACAAUCUUGGCCAUUACAUAAUAGCUCUGCUGAGUUUGAUAGCCUAUAAGGCUAUGUUUAUAAUAUGCUGCCAGCUCCUCCUUAAUACAUA